Long non-coding RNA from Oryzias melastigma (Indian medaka), 993 nucleotides. RefSeq lists it as uncharacterized. Lineage: Eukaryota; Metazoa; Chordata; Actinopteri; Beloniformes; Adrianichthyidae. The record is from RefSeq and is a predicted model, not a curated record. The transcript has 5 exons.
AAAUGGAAAUGUGAUGUGGUCCUGAGAGCCUUCGGCAGCUCAGAGACAUGAACUCCUGCAAACAAACCGCCUGCAGGGUCUGAGGCUGCAACUCUGAGGGCAAAUGAGCCGAAGUGAUGGCUGCUCUCAGCGCCGACGGUGGAAAAAUGACGGAGAAGGAAACAAGGAAAACUUCCAGACCUGUUUGGAGACCAAAGCUUCAGCAGAAACUCCAUUUCCCAUAAGCCCCUUGAGGAGCAGCUAUCAAGCUAAUGAGGUGCAGUUGAGGCUGAAGCUCCAUGAAAAUGUCUCAGUUCAGUCGGAGGCAGAAGAGCAUCCGGAUCACAGGAAGGUUAACCUUCAGGAGGAAGCAGACGGAUUCCUUCGUCGGCCCGUUUGAACCAGGAGGUUCUGACCCAGCUUGGACCGCGGACUCAUGGGGCUCGCUGACGGACCGCUCCGGGACCAGAUCUGGACUCCGCAUCCAUGAUCCGGAAACGCCGCCAUCAGGGACCGCCUUCCCUCCAAAUACAGCAGCGCCGCUCUAAUGAAGCAGCAAACACCAUCAAUAGGCUGAUCUAAUCCUCCUCAAAUGACUCUUUGGCACCCCCUGGUGGCUCACAGGAGUCUAACGUUUAAGCAGCUCAGCAGGUGACUAACAGACAGACGUCUCAGGGAAUCAUCUGUCCAAAUCCUCCACAUCAUCCUCAUCCUCUGCUCUCAUUCUGCUGGGACAGUCCUGCAGACUCUGAGGAUCUUCUCCGUUCAUCUCCAGAACCAGCAAACGCGACUCCUUCAGAUGUCAGCUGACAUGUCUGGGAUGAGGAUGAGAGGAAUGUUUGAUCCAGAAUCUCCUCCUGACAGUAACCUGGAGAAGAUCCUUCAGCCUCUGAGGGUUUGGAAAAGGAACUCAACUGUUUGAUGAGAGGAAAAAUUCAAAUCUGUUUGCAGUGGCGGCACCAACUCUGAAGACAAUCAGGAGGAGUCUGCGAGUAGGCGGCUGCGCCUGCGUCC